AGACGUCUACAUUACGAUACCCCCGUAGUCCUAGCCGUAAACGAUACUCGCUAGGUGUCGGCCACGGUGCGACCGUUGUCGGUGCCGUAGGGAAGCCGUGAAGCGAGCCACCUGGGAAGUACGGCCGCAAGGCUGAAACUUAAAGGAAUUGGCGGGGGAGCACAACAACGGGUGGAGCUUGCGGUUUAAUUGGAUUCAACGCCGGAAAUCUUACCGGGACCGACAGCAACAUGAAGGCCAAGCUGAAGACUUUUGCCGGAUUAGCUG
RNAcentral lists this ribosomal RNA (267 nucleotides) under uncultured archaeon. RNAcentral describes it as "partial 16S ribosomal RNA". It matches the Rfam family "Archaeal small subunit ribosomal RNA", at positions 717 to 982 of the family's 1478-position model. The record is from RNAcentral.